RNAcentral lists this ribosomal RNA (439 nucleotides) under uncultured bacterium. RNAcentral describes it as "partial 16S ribosomal RNA". It matches the Rfam family "Bacterial small subunit ribosomal RNA", at positions 338 to 795 of the family's 1533-position model. The record is from RNAcentral.
CCUACGGGAGGCAGCAGUGGGGAAUAUUGCACAAUGGGGGAAACCCUGAUGCAGCGACGCCGCGUGAGUGCAGAAGUAUUUCGGGAUGUAAAGCUCUAUCAGCAGGGAAGAUCAUGACGGUACCUGACUCAGACGCACCGGCUAACUACGUUCCAGCAGCCGCGGUAAUACGUAGGGGGCAAGCGUUAUCCGGAUUUACUGGGUGUAAAGGGAGCGUUGGUGGCCAGGCAAGUCAGAGGUGAAACGCCGGGGCUCAACCAUGUCGAGCCGUCGGAUCUGGCAGUCUUGAGUGCGCGAGAAGUAUGCGGAAUGCGGGGUGUAGCGGUGAAAUGCAUAGAUAUAACGCAGAACGCCGAUUGCGAAGGCAGCAUACCGGCACCCAACUGACGCUGAGGCACGAAAGCGUGGGGAUCGAACAGGAUUAGAUACCCCGGUAGUC